GAGUAUCAAUUGGAGGGCAAGUCUGGUGCCAGCAGCCGCGGUAAUUCCAGCUCCAAUAGCGUAUAUAAAAGUUGUUGCAGUUAAGAAGCUCGUAGUUGAAUUUCUGCCUUGUCAUUAAUCUCGCUUCCGAGCGUUUUUUUAUUGGCUUGGCAUCUUCUGGAUUUGGUGCCUUCGGGUACUAUUUUCCAGGAUUUACUUUGAGAAAACUAGAGUGUUUCAAACAGGCAUUCGCCUUGAAUACUACAGCAUGGAAUAAUGAAGUAGGACUUUGGUUCUAUUUUGUUGGUUAUUGAGCCAGAGUAAUGGUUAAUAGGAGCAGUUGGGGGCAUUCGUAUUUAACUGUCAGAGGUGAAAUUCUUAGAUUUGUUAAAGACGAACUACUGCGAAAGCAUUUGCCAAGGAUGUUUUCAUUAAUCAAGAACGAAAGUUAGGGGAUCGAAAACGAUCAGAUACCGUCUUACUCCUAACCAUAAACUAA
This 478-nucleotide ribosomal RNA is filed under the name Babesia microti. Its description in RNAcentral is "SSU rRNA". It matches the Rfam family "Eukaryotic small subunit ribosomal RNA", at positions 539 to 1040 of the family's 1831-position model. Lineage: Eukaryota; Apicomplexa; Aconoidasida; Piroplasmida; Babesiidae. The record is from RNAcentral.